Molecule: long non-coding RNA, 386 nt
Filed under: Mytilus galloprovincialis (Mediterranean mussel)
Lineage: Eukaryota; Metazoa; Mollusca; Bivalvia; Mytilida; Mytilidae
Source: RNAcentral
CCUGAUAUAAUCAUAUAGGCCAAAUUUAUUAAAAGUUUCAUUAAUAUCAUCAGAGUGCUAAAACUAGAAUUUUUAAUUACCCUUUUUAAAUUUUACAAUUUUCAAUGCACUAAAGUUUUCCUAUCACCAGGCAUAAAUUGUCUUAGUAAUAUUUUGCACAACGUUUUAAAAAUUUUUGGGUUUUAAAUACUCUUCUAAUUCAUAUAUGAUUAAGCCUUCCAGCUGUUUUAAAUCUAGUGCCAUGAGUCUUAUGAAGACGAAAUGUACGUUAGCAAAUUCUUAGCCUUGUAUCUUGGAUGAGUUUUUAUAUGAGAAUUUUUAUGGUGGUAUAACAUUACAUAUUUGUAUUUUUGAAAGUGUUCGAUUAUUACAUAUGUAUAAAGUCU